UGAGAGUACGCGUACCCACAGAGUACUGAGGGGGUAAUCCUAAGAAAAUUCGGAGAAAUUAGAACAGGCCCAUUUUUUCACUAAAUUGUUCUACUGGCUAGGAAAGAGACAAAUUAAGGUGCGCCAGACAGAACAGCGCCUCCACGAGUCCCACCGAGGCAAUGACCCCCUCAUGUGUGAGAGGUUAUUCUUUAUGCAGGUCAAGUUACCACAGUCCACAGGUGACAGCCAUGCCGCAAAUUGUAGGGCGGGGGGGGGGCUGUUGUACUCAUCCUGACCAAUUUUAUGGUAAUGAGGGCAUUCAAUUCUUCUGAAGAUAUGUUUGGAGGCUGGAACCCAACCAGGAGUAAUGGAAAUGGUGGGUGAUCUAGGGGUCUAGCAUACUUUGGAAUGAGCUGAAGAAAGUGUUGUGUGAAUAUUAAUAAUAACUAUAAUAUAUAAUUAAACAUUAUAUCAACCUUGUUUAUAUAAUUACUAGUCAAUUUACAAGGAACUGUUUAAAUUCCUUGGACCUAAAGAUAUCUCCCUUCCUCUGUAGCCACGAAGUCUAAUACUAAGACCAUGCCAAACAACUGAAUUCUUCGUUGUGUAGAUUCCUUUAUCCGUCUUGCCACAAUGUCCACCUCACCUAUAAUUUAUUGCGAUUUAACUUGGUCCCUCCCAACGUGGCAGAUCCUAAAUUCUCCACGAUUGUCACUCCCCCUAACUUUUGUUUUAUUUGUAUUAAUCCACAAUGUGAAAGUUUCCCAAUAAGAAACAUGUAAACCCAUCGUCUCAUUGAAUGUUUGCUUGUUAAUUUUAAUGCCUGUAUCUUCCCAUGAUCAUGCUUUAAA
Molecule: long non-coding RNA, 833 nt
Organism: Gadus morhua (Atlantic cod)
Lineage: Eukaryota; Metazoa; Chordata; Actinopteri; Gadiformes; Gadidae
Exons: 3
Source: RefSeq, a predicted model, not a curated record